AGAGUUUGAUCCUGGCUCAGAAUCAACGCUGGCGGCGUGCCUAACACAUGCAAGUCGAACGAGAAAGUGGUAGCAAUACCAUGAGUAAAGUGGCGCACGGGUGAGUAACACGUGACUAACCUACCCUGGAGUGGGGGAUAACUGAGGGAAACCUUAGCUAAUACCGCAUAAUACCUACGGGUCAAAGGAGCAAUUCGCUUCAGGAGGGGGUCGCGGCCGAUUAGUUAGUUGGCGGGGUAAUGGCCCACCAAGACUGUGAUCGGUAUCCGGCCUGAGAGGGCGCACGGACACACUGGAACUGAAACACGGUCCAGACUCCUACGGGAGGCAGCAGUGGGGAAUUUUGCGCAAUGGGGGAAACCCUGACGCAGCAACGCCGCGUGGGGGAUGAAGUCCUUCGGGACG
This 405-nucleotide ribosomal RNA is filed under the name uncultured bacterium. RNAcentral describes it as "bacterial SSU rRNA". It matches the Rfam family "Bacterial small subunit ribosomal RNA", at positions 8 to 425 of the family's 1533-position model. The record is from RNAcentral.